This 1173-nucleotide ribosomal RNA is filed under the name uncultured Francisella sp. Its description in RNAcentral is "bacterial SSU rRNA". It matches the Rfam family "Bacterial small subunit ribosomal RNA", at positions 127 to 1298 of the family's 1533-position model. The record is from RNAcentral. Lineage: Bacteria; Pseudomonadati; Pseudomonadota; Gammaproteobacteria; Thiotrichales; Francisellaceae.
UGCCCAUUUGAGGGGGAUACCAGUUGGAAACGACUGUUAAUACCGCAUAAUAUCUGCGGAUUAAAGGUGGCCUUUGUGCUGCCGCAGAUGGAUGAGCCUGCGUUAGAUUAGCUUGUUGGUGGGGUAAGAGCCUACCAAGGCUGCGAUCUAUAGCUGAUUUGAGAGGAUGAUCAGCCACAUUGGGACUGAGACACGGCCCAAACUCCUACGGGAGGCAGCAGUGGGGAAUAUUGGACAAUGGGCGCAAGCCUGAUCCAGCAAUGCCAUGUGUGUGAAGAAGGCUCUAGGGUUGUAAAGCACUUUAGUUGGGGAGGAAAGCCUGUAGGUUAAUAGCUUGCAGGAAGGACGUUACCCAAAGAAUAAGGACCGGCUAACUCCGUGCCAGCAGCCGCGGUAAUACGGGGGGUCCGAGCGUUAAUCGGAAUUACUGGGCGUAAAGGGUCUGUAGGUGGUUUGUUAAGUCAGAUGUGAAAGCCCAGGGCUCAACCUUGGAACUGCAUUUGAUACUGGCAAACUAGAGUAUAGUAGAGGAAUGGGGAAUUUCUGGUGUAGCGGUGAAAUGCGUAGAGAUCAGAAGGAACACCAAUGGCGAAGGCAACAUUCUGGACUAAUACUGACACUGAGGGACGAAAGCGUGGGGAUCAAACAGGAUUAGAUACCCUGGUAGUCCACGCUGUAAACGAUGAGUACUAGCUGUUGGAUUCGGUGUAAAGGAUCUAGUGGCGUAGCUAACGCGUUAAGUACUCCGCCUGGGGACUACGGCCGCAAGGCUAAAACUCAAAGGAAUUGACGGGGACCCGCACAAGCGGUGGAGCAUGUGGUUUAAUUCGAUGCAACGCGAAGAACCUUACCUGGUCUUGACAUCCUGCGAACUUUCUAGAGAUAGAUUGGUGCCUUCGGGAACGCAGUGACAGGUGCUGCACGGCUGUCGUCAGCUCGUGUUGUGAAAUGUUGGGUUAAGUCCCGCAACGAGCGCAACCCCUAUUGAUAGUUACCAUCAUUAAGUUGGGUACUCUAUUGAGACUGCCGCUGACAAGGCGGAGGAAGGUGGGGACGACGUCAAGUCAUCAUGGCCCUUACGACCAGGGCUACACACGUGCUACAAUGGGUAUUACAGAGGGCAGCGAAGUAGCGAUAUGAAGCGAAACUCAAAAAGGUACUCUUAGUCCAUUU